GGGGAAUAUUGGACAAUGGGGGCAACCCUGAUCCAGCCAUGCCGCGUGUGCGAAGAAGGCCCUCGGGUUGUAAAGCACUUUCAGCGAGGAAGAACGCCUAUCGGUUAAUACCCGGUAGGAAAGACAUCACUCGCAGAAGAAGCACCGGCUAACUCCUUCCCAGCAGCCGCGGUAAUACGGAGGGUGCAAGCGUUAAUCGGAAUUACUGGGCGUAAAGCGCGCGUAGGUGGCUUGAUAAGCCGGUUGUGAAAGCCCCGGGCUCAACCUGGGAACGGCAUCCGGAACUGUCAGGCUCGAGUGCAGGAGAGGAAGGUAGAAUUCCCGGUGUAGCGGUGAAAUGCGUAGAGAUCGGGAGGAAUACCAGUGGCGAAGGCGGCCUUCUGGACUGACACUGACACUGAGGUGCGAAAGCGUGGGUAGCAAACA
RNAcentral lists this ribosomal RNA (426 nucleotides) under uncultured Halomonas sp. RNAcentral describes it as "bacterial SSU rRNA". It matches the Rfam family "Bacterial small subunit ribosomal RNA", at positions 356 to 774 of the family's 1533-position model. The record is from RNAcentral. Lineage: Bacteria; Pseudomonadati; Pseudomonadota; Gammaproteobacteria; Oceanospirillales; Halomonadaceae.